This 30-nucleotide small RNA is filed under the name Bombyx mori (domestic silkworm). Its description in RNAcentral is "piRNA piR-bmo-1263486". Lineage: Eukaryota; Metazoa; Arthropoda; Insecta; Lepidoptera; Bombycidae. The record is from RNAcentral.
UGACUCAACAUCACCUCCAACAGAUGACGC